Molecule: transfer RNA, 60 nt
Filed under: Desis jiaxiangi
Lineage: Eukaryota; Metazoa; Arthropoda; Arachnida; Araneae; Desidae
Description: tRNA-Glu
Source: RNAcentral
GUAAAUUUGGUGAAGUUCACGUCAUUAUUUCAUGAUGGAGAUAUAUUAGUCUUCUUUAUC